GGACAGAUACCCAAGUGGUAAAGGGGCCGGUUUGCUAAACCGGUAGGCCGGGAAACCGGUGCAUGGGUUCAAACCCCAUUCUGUCCGCCA
Molecule: transfer RNA, 90 nt
Filed under: Caudoviricetes sp.
Lineage: Duplodnaviria; Heunggongvirae; Uroviricota; Caudoviricetes
Description: tRNA-Ser
Rfam family: tRNA
About the family: Transfer RNA (tRNA) molecules are approximately 80 nucleotides in length. Their secondary structure includes four short double-helical elements and three loops (D, anti-codon, and T loops).
Source: RNAcentral